UACGUAGGGGGCAAGCGUUGUCCGGAAUUAUUGGGCGUAAAGAGCGUGUAGGCGGUCCGGUAAGUCAGCUGUGAAAGUCAAGGGCUCAACCCUUGAAAGCCGGUUGAUACUGUCGAGCUAGAGUCCGGAAGAGGCGAGUGGAAUUCCCGGUGUAGCGGUGAAAUGCGCAGAUAUCGGGAGGAACACCAAUGGCGAAGGCAGCUCGCUGGGACGGUACUGACGCUGAGACGCGAAAGCGUGGGGAGCAAACAGG
Molecule: ribosomal RNA, 253 nt
Filed under: uncultured bacterium
Lineage: Bacteria
Description: partial 16S ribosomal RNA
Rfam family: Bacterial small subunit ribosomal RNA
Source: RNAcentral